RNAcentral lists this ribosomal RNA (497 nucleotides) under uncultured bacterium. Its description in RNAcentral is "partial 16S ribosomal RNA". It matches the Rfam family "Bacterial small subunit ribosomal RNA", at positions 28 to 507 of the family's 1533-position model. The record is from RNAcentral.
GAUGAACGCUGGCGGCGUGCCUAAUACAUGCAAGUCGAGCGAACAGACGAGGAGCUUGCUCCUCUGACGUUAGCGGCGGACGGGUGAGUAACACGUGGAUAACCUACCUAUAAGACUGGGAUAACUUCGGGAAACCGGAGCUAAUACCGGAUAAUAUAUUGAACCGCAUGGUUCAAUAGUGAAAGACGGUUUUGCUGUCACUUAUAGAUGGAUCCGCGCCGCAUUAGCUAGUUGGUAGGGUAACGGCUUACCAAGGCAACGAUGCGUAGCCGACCUGAGAGGGUGAUCGGCCACACUGGAACUGAGAACCGGUCCAGACUCCUACGGGAGGCAGCAGUAGGGAAUCUUCCGCCAUGGGCGAAAGCCUGACGGAGCAACGCCGCGUGAGUGAUGAAGGUCUUCGGAUCGGAAAACUCUGUUAUUAGGGAAGAACAAAUGUGUAAGUAACUAUGCACGUCUUGACGGUACCUAAUCAGAAAGCCACGGCUAACUACGUG